RNAcentral lists this ribosomal RNA (979 nucleotides) under seawater metagenome. RNAcentral describes it as "bacterial LSU rRNA". It matches the Rfam family "Bacterial large subunit ribosomal RNA", at positions 1950 to 2925 of the family's 2925-position model. The record is from RNAcentral.
CCUAAGGUAGCGAAAUUCCUUGUCGGGUAAGUUCCGACCUGCACGAAUGGUGUAAUGAUCGCUCCACUGUCUCCAUCCGAGGCUCAGUGAAAUUGAAAUCGCCGUGACGAUGCGGUGUUCCCGCGGCAAGACGGAAAGACCCCGUGAACCUUUACUACAACUUUGCACUGGAAUUUGAGUUUGUUUGUGUAGGAUAGGUGGGAGCCUUUGAAGCCCAGGCGCUAGCUUGAGUGGAGGCAACCUUGAAAUACCACCCUGAUAAACUUGAAUUUCUAACCUAGGCCCGUUAUCCGGGUCAGGGACAUUGCAUGGCGGGUAGUUUGACUGGGGCGGUCUCCUCCCAAAGAGUAACGGAGGAGUGCGAAGGUAACCUCAACGCGGUCGGAAAUCGCGUUUUUGAGUGCAUAGGCAUAAGGUUGCUUGACUGCGAGACAGACACGUCGAGCAGGUACGAAAGUAGGUCUAAGUGAUCCGGUGGUUCUGUAUGGAAGGGCCAUCGCUCAACGGAUAAAAGGUACUCCGGGGAUAACAGGCUGAUACUGCCCAAGAGUCCAUAUCGACGGCAGUGUUUGGCACCUCGAUGUCGGCUCAUCUCAUCCUGGGGCUGUAGCAGGUCCCAAGGGUCCGGCUGUUCGCCGGUUAAAGAGGUACGCGAGCUGGGUUCAGAACGUCGUGAGACAGUUCGGUCCCUAUCUGCCGUGGGCGUUCGAGAUUUGAGAGGAGUUGACCUUAGUACGAGAGGACCGGGUUGAACAUACCUCUGGUGUUCCAGUUGUCACGCCAGUGGCAUCGCUGGGUAGCUAUGUAUGGACGGGAUAACCGCUGAAAGCAUCUAAGCGGGAAGCCCACCUCGAGAUGAGAUCUCGCGAAUCCUAGAGAUUCCUGAAGAGCCCUUGUAGACCACAAGGUUGAUAGGCUGGGUGUGGAAGUGCAGCAAUGCAUGGAGCUAACAGAUCGGAAGAGCACACGUCUGAACUCC